UACGUAGGCAGCAAGCGUUGUUCGGAAUUACUGGGCGUAAAGAGUGUGUAGGCGGUUUUCUAAGUUUGGUGUGAAAUCUCCCGGCUUAACUGGGAGGGUGCGCCGAAAACUGGAAGGCUUGAGUAUGGGAGAGGUAAGCGGAAUUCCUGGUGUAGCGGUGAAAUGCGUAGAUAUCAGGAGGAACACCUGUGGUGUAGACAGCUUACUGGACCAUGACUGACGCUGAGGCACGAAAGCGUGGGGAGCAAACAGG
Molecule: ribosomal RNA, 253 nt
Filed under: uncultured prokaryote
Description: partial 16S ribosomal RNA
Rfam family: Bacterial small subunit ribosomal RNA
Source: RNAcentral